RNAcentral lists this ribosomal RNA (508 nucleotides) under uncultured bacterium. RNAcentral describes it as "partial 16S ribosomal RNA". It matches the Rfam family "Bacterial small subunit ribosomal RNA", at positions 28 to 507 of the family's 1533-position model. The record is from RNAcentral.
GACGAACGCUGGCGGCGUGCUUAACACAUGCAAGUCGAACGGGCCUUGUCCCCUUUUUUUUUGGGGGUGGGGUUAGUGGCGAACGGGUGAGUAACACGUGAGUAACCUGCCCCUCACUUCUGGAUAACCGCUUGAAAGGGUGGCUAAUACGGGGUGUUCUGGCCUGGUCGCAUGGGUGGGUUUGGAAAGAUUCGACCGGUUUUGGAUGUUUUGGUGGGGGAUGGGCUCGCGGCCUAUCAGCUUGUUGGUGGGGUGAUAGCCUGCCAAGGCUUUGACGGGUAGCCGGCCUGAGAGGGUGGGCUGUCACACUGGGACUGACACACGGCCCAGACUCCUACGGGAGGCAGCAGUGGGGAAUAUUGCACAAUGGGCGCAAGCCUGAUGCAGCUACGCCGCGUGAGGGAUGGAGGCCUUCGGGUUGUGAACCUCUUUCGCCAGUGAAGAAGGUCCUGCUCUUUGUGGUGGGGUUGACGGUAGCUGGGUUAAUGAAGCGCCGGCUAACUACGUG